GGUUUAAUAGUGAUGGGUGACCAGGGCUCCCUGAGUUCUACAGGCCUCUGUUACGGGGGUGAUGGCCAGUCCUGGUGCUGACAGGUU
Capra hircus (goat) is the source of this 87-nucleotide small nucleolar RNA. NCBI's taxonomy places the organism in Eukaryota, Metazoa, Chordata, Mammalia, Artiodactyla, Bovidae. The record is from Ensembl.